Molecule: long non-coding RNA, 1779 nt
Organism: Homo sapiens (human)
Lineage: Eukaryota; Metazoa; Chordata; Mammalia; Primates; Hominidae
Gene: MIR22HG
Product: MIR22 host gene
Source: Ensembl
GAUCGGAGCCUGGAGCCGGUGUGUGCUGGGUGCCGAGAAGAGACAGCGCCGCCGGCCGUGGGGAGCGGACGCAGUGAUUUGCUCCCCCUCGUGCAGCAACCCCCACACCCAGCACCAGGCCCCCAGAACUCUCCUUCCAGCUGAACUCCCUGGGAACAAGUCAGUUGGGCUGAUCACUGAACUCACAUUUCUGGACCUGAGGAGCCUGUUCCUCUCACGCCCUCACCUGGCUGAGCCGCAGUAGUUCUUCAGUGGCAAGCUUUAUGUCCUGACCCAGCUAAAGCUGCCAGUUGAAGAACUGUUGCCCUCUGCCCCUGGCUUCGAGGAGGAGGAGGAGCUGCUUUCCCCAUCAUCUGGAAGCCCUGAUCCAUUCUCACCUAGCGGCUACAGGAAGCUGUGUCUGUUCGAUUUGGUGGGAGGAGAUGUGCAGGGAGCUGUAUCUUGUCCUCCGCUUGUGAAAAACUCAAGGAUGUGGAGAAGAGUAGACCGUGGAACCCUGCUCUUCUGCAGCCAAGCUGAGGGGCAGGAUGCGUGUGGGACAGUGGUAGAGAAGCAGGGGAUAGACUCAUAGGCUGCAACAAAGGUGACUCUGUCCCUGGACACUGCCUCCGUACUUUCUCCUUGCUUCACUGGCCACAGCAUCUCCCUCCAGCCCUCGCUAUGUGCCUCUGCCAUCUUCACCCAUCAUGGAGCAGAGGUGAGGAGAGGCAGCCUGGGAAUAUGGAGACCAGUGAAGGACCAGGCCUGGAGAGCACAGGGUCCUACCUGGGCAUCCAGCAGAGGAGCCCCUAAAGGCCAGGAGCACCCCAAGAGGAGGGAGGGCAGCCAGCCUCCAUUGACGGCGAGCCUCCAGCCCUCUCCUACUUUGAUCACCAUUUCUCUCCAGGCUUUCUGCCUCCGAGAUGUGGCACCAUAGUGCGGUGCCCUGUGGCUUCACCGCCCUACUUCCACCUCCGCCCAGCCUGUAAUGUUUAUAUAAGCAGCCUCAAGGACCAAGAACCAUCUGCGAAAGGACACACACAGGAAAUUCAUAAAAGAAAUCUGAAUGGAUAAAACCAUGAAAAAAAGUAUGCUUCAUUAGUAAUUAAAGAAAGGCAAAUAGAGCUGGAAGCAUUUUUCCCUUAGCAAACCAUAACAGAAAAAAAUAAGACCCAAUAUUGGCAAAGAGACUACUGAAAAAACAUUCCCAUACAUUGCGUGUGGGAGUAUACAUCGGUGCAGGCUUCCUGGAUGACAGUUGGGUGAUAUGUGUCAUGUGGCCUAAAAGCCUCCAUGUCAUUUGACCUACGAAUUCUAUCUUUGGGAAUUUAUCCUAAGAAAAUACUUAAGGAUUUAGUUAGUGAUAAGAUGUUCAUCCCAGCAUUGCAAUGGAGAAAAAUGGGAAGCAAUGGUUUGGUUGGGAAUUUAUUCCUUUUCUGCUGUAACGAAAGUUUGCAAUAGGGGAUUGCUUAAGUAAAUUAUUGUAUCUCCAUCCAGAUGGUGGAGUACCGCGCAGACAUUAAAAGUCAUGUAAAAGAACAUCUGACUGAAAGAAAAAUGCUCCUUGAAUAUUAAAAGGUUGUAAAAAUAGUGCAUGUUAUGUGAUUUCAAUUUUGUUUUUUAAAAUAUGGGUGUAUGCUUGUAUACGUAGAGCAGAUAAAAAAGACGGAAGGCAUACUAAAAAAUGUUGAGUGGUUAUCUUUGUAUGGUGGAACAAAGUCACUGUAAUUUUCAUCUUUGGUUUUUCUGUAAUUUCCAAAUUUUCCACAUUUUGUAUUUCAUAUAAUAUAAUUUAAGAGA